GACGAACCGGACAAACGUUAUUCGGAAUUACUGGGCUUAAAGGGUUUGUAGGCGGCCUUGUAAGUCAGGUGUGAAAUCCCUCGGCUCAACCGAGGAAUGGCGCUUGAUACCGCACGGCUUGAGGGAGACAGGGGUAAGCGGAACUGAUGGUGGAGCGGUGAAAUGCGUUGAUAUCAUCAGGAACACCGGUGGCGAAAGCGGCUUACUGGGUCUCUUCUGACGCUGAGGAACGAAAGCUAGGGGAGCGAACGGG
Molecule: ribosomal RNA, 253 nt
Filed under: uncultured bacterium
Lineage: Bacteria
Description: partial 16S ribosomal RNA
Rfam family: Bacterial small subunit ribosomal RNA
Source: RNAcentral